UGCCUCUCCCACCGUCUUAACCCGAACUCGGGCUUGUGGCGUCCUCCCGUGGGCCGGAUAGAGUGCCCUAGUCCAGCUAACGGAUUCAGCCUGGAGCGUUCUGGUGAAUGCUGCUUUCCUCUUUGGUGCCGCGAAGUAGAAAUCGGGAUAAGGGUUGUCAUGGCCGGAGGGAGCGAAGAGAAUCCAGGUCUAUUAUUAGCAGAAGAUUUUUCUGCAUAGUUGGCACGCUGUA
Molecule: small RNA, 232 nt
Filed under: Homo sapiens (human)
Lineage: Eukaryota; Metazoa; Chordata; Mammalia; Primates; Hominidae
Description: partial Hum_SGMS1_1a8
Source: RNAcentral